RNAcentral lists this ribosomal RNA (253 nucleotides) under uncultured bacterium. Its description in RNAcentral is "partial 16S ribosomal RNA". It matches the Rfam family "Bacterial small subunit ribosomal RNA", at positions 524 to 776 of the family's 1533-position model. The record is from RNAcentral.
UACAGAGGUCCCAAGCGUUGUUCGGAUUCACUGGGCUUAAAGGGCGCGUAGGCGGGUCCGGCAGUCAGGGGUGAAAUCCCACGGCCCAACCGUGGAAGUGCCUCUGAUACUUCGGACCUCGAGGGAGGUAGGGGCGUGCGGAACUCAGGGUGGAGCGGUGAAAUGCGUAGAUAUCCUGAGGAACACCGGUGGCGAAAGCGGCGCGCUGGAUCUCUUCUGACGCUGAGGCGCGAAAGCCAGGGGAGCAAACGGG